RNAcentral lists this unclassified non-coding RNA (2147 nucleotides) under Leishmania donovani. RNAcentral describes it as "gene:LdHU3.21.0690(CDS-product:hypothetical_prote in_conserved)". The record is from RNAcentral. Lineage: Eukaryota; Euglenozoa; Kinetoplastea; Trypanosomatida; Trypanosomatidae.
UUGUGCUUACACAUGCACACACGCACCCAUGCGCAGAGGCACAGGCAGGCCACACUUACACGUCCCAUGGCGCAGAGAUAAAAUUUACCGAUCUGCCUCUCCCUUCCCCGCUCUCUCUCUUGGGCUCUCCGGGCACGCUUCGGUGUCUUGCCUCCCGGUGCACCCACGCGUGGGAGGUACCGAGAGAGGCGAAGGGGGGAGGGGGACGGGAGAAGGACGGCGCGAGGGAGUACACAGCGACACAACCCCCCUCUCCCCCCUUUCAUUACUGUUCGCUCCUCUUAUACUUGUGCACUCGAUUACUUUCCUCUUUUAUGCAUAUUUUUCCUCUUGGGCGUCUCCCUCCUCUUUCCAUUCGUUUCACGGAAUGCGCGCGCUCUUUCUCCCCCUUCGUGGGCUCGCGCAACGCUCUCCCCACCACCGCCACCGCGCUGCUGUGCCUGCUGCAACCUUCAGGAACCCUCCCCCCCUUACCCCCUCCCCUCCAGUAUAUACAUACCCCCGUACAGCAGCGAUUGCCACCGUCGUCAUCGUUAUCAGCUAUGGACGCGUUUCAGGCUACCCUCGAUGAGCUGCAGAGGGAGUCCAAGGAAAAGAUCGCGCACGUGCAGGACACCGCGAGUGCGGCUGUGCUGCAAGCGCGUGUCGUGCCGCACCGCAUUGCCGUCGCCAUGGCGCAGCGCUUUACCAGUGACCGGGUCGAGUCGUGCUUUCCGGUACUGUGCUUGCUGGACGCUACACUCGCGCGUACCGCCUCCGCCUCGCCUUCCACAUCGAGUGAGGCUGAUCAGGCGCUGGAGGCCAUCCUCGCCGAGUUUUGGACGUUGGCUCCCGCCGCCUUCAUGUCUGUCCACGGGGCGGGCCAGCCGGCGUGGCGUGAGAAGUGCUUGCGGCUUGUGCGCCGAUGGAAGCAACGCCGGCUUGUACCCGAGCCGCUGAUCACGGAGCUGCUUACGGCGAUGGAGAAGGGGACUGCCAAGGCGGAGGCAGCAGAGGCAGCAGAGGCCGCGAGCGUGACGGGAGUCUCAAGCAACGCAACAUCCACUGCAGGGACAUCCUCGUCAUCUUUGGCGAUCGCAGCGGCAGCCACGACAAGCGGACAGCCGUCGCCGUCCACCACCGUCACCGCAACCGCUGCUACCACCGCUGCCAUGGCGUCUCCCUCCGCAUCAUACUCGGUGCCGACCCCGUCUUUCACAGCAGCCCAGGCGCGGGCGUUCCGGUCCACUUUGCAGGCGUGCCUGUCCACCCUGGAGAGUCUGCAGCCCGCGCGGGCCGCCUUGUAUCUGGAGCUCGUGCGCUCGCAGCACUUCCGCGCGCCAUCCCGCACGUCCCUUGCGUUCUUCGAGGACCUGCUGAAAGAGCUGCGCCGCGAGGUGACGAUGGCGUCGUCGUCGUCUCCCAACCGAGCGGCCAGCGCAGGUGGCGGCGCGGGAGUCAAGGAAGGAGCCGACCCGGCGUCGAACGGGCACGCCAGAGAAACCCUAGGGAAGCUGCUCGAUCAGUUACACGUCGCCGCUAGUGAGGGGGCGGCCGGACUCAGCGCAGGAGGCCGUGCUGCCGCUGCCGGCGUCGCUGGUGCGGGUGUUCACCACAGCGCCGCCACCACGGUCGUCCGCUAUGUGAGCCCCAUCUUCUCGGACAUCUACGCGAGGCAGGCGCUUGGUCAACGCGGCACUGGCUUCGGCACGCUUCAGCGCAAGGCAGGGCACGGCGGGCCUUCGGGAGGCAGCGCCUUCUACACAUCCUACUACCCCAAAGCAGAGGCGAAUGCGCAGCGGCCGUUUCGAAUCCCGCCGGCACGGCAAAUGCAAGGCGGUGCGGUGCGGCUGCACUUCCCUCGCCAACAAGAGUGGGUGAACGCGCAGGACAUGGCCGACAUCUCGCAGUACGCUAGCCGUGGCAUUACGGACAGGGGCCGCAAGCGGACACGCGAAGGGGUCUAAGCUUGUGGGCGGAGGUGCGAAGCUGCGGGGCAGGCCAUAGAAGCAGUCUACAUAUGCAUAUGCGAAUAUGUGUGUGCGUGUGCGCGUUUGCGCCUAGGCGUGCUGGCCCUCAAGUUGUUCACGGAGGCCGUAGAUCGAAAGAAGCUGAAGAAGACAGCGCAGACCUGGAUACGUUCCCCUUCCGACACCACACACACACAC